Molecule: long non-coding RNA, 1068 nt
Organism: Heterocephalus glaber (naked mole-rat)
Lineage: Eukaryota; Metazoa; Chordata; Mammalia; Rodentia; Bathyergidae
Source: Ensembl
AACCAUUACCGUGUAUAUGGUCUCUGUUUUGCUUGUGUCUCAAGUUGUUAGCUCUCUGUGCAGGGAAUUUUGGAGUAUGUCUUAGAUUGUGAGUUCAGUGGGCUGUUUUUGGUGUCUCUGGGUAUCUGAACUGUUUGGAGGUCAGUGUCUUGGGAGUGAAAUUUCUUCUUUGUCUUUUGUGUUUAGGGAGGAUACUGGAGAUUGAGUCCAAGGCCUCAGGCAUGAUAAGCAAGUGCUUUCUCACUGAGCUACAUCUCCAGCCCUUAAAAAAUUUUUUUUAAGAUAAUGUCCUGCCAAGUUGCCCAGGCUAACCUUAAACUUGUGAUCCUCUUGUCUCCACCUCCCACAUAGCCAGGACUACAGGCCAGCUAUGGCAUAUCGAGACAUAACUCCAUUUUGGCCUCUGGUCACAGCUACAACCUCAGUGGUCCCGUGAUGCUGUGAUGCUCCAGGACAAGAUUACACCAGCUGAAGACAUCCUGGGAGGAACAAAAUCUUCAUCUGCAUAGUUCCUCAUUGAUCUAGGAUAUCUGCCGCCUGCCUCGCAAGUGCAAGGUCCUGAGUUCGAUCCCUGUUACCAAAAAAAAAAGUUCUUUACAUUUUCAGAUCUCCCCAUGUUGUGUCUUACUUUUGGGGAAGAGAAUAGGAGGAGGAAGGAGCAAAAACAGUGUCUCAUUGGAGUCCCCAAAGGAUGGAACUCAGGAUCUUGCGCUUGCAAGGUGGGCGCUGGAACUACUGAGCUAAAUCCCCAGCCCUGUUUUGAUGUUUUAGAGUGGACAUGCUAUUGGAUCCCAUGUGUGAGAACUCGGAGUGAAUUGCCCCCUCCCUCUGAGAGUCUCUCUGCUUCCUGACUGUCAUGUAAACAGCUUUCCUCUGUCCAGGGCCUUCUACCACACCAUUGAAGCCAGGCCAUGGACUGAAACUUCUAAAACUGCAAAUCAAAAUAAACCUCUCCUCUUUUAAGGUGUGGGUGUCAAGUAUUGUGUCUCAGUCACAAGGAAAGUAACUAAGACAGAUGGGGAUAAAUCAUAUUCUAACUGCAGCACUCUGAAAUUAGUUACUAAAACG